RNAcentral lists this long non-coding RNA (2009 nucleotides) under Struthio camelus australis. RNAcentral describes it as "lncRNA (ENSSCUG00000002798.1)". Lineage: Eukaryota; Metazoa; Chordata; Aves; Struthioniformes; Struthionidae. The record is from RNAcentral.
CAUCGUGGCCUGCGGCGUAUGAGAAAUCAUUACUGUGAAGGAAUCCUUGCCAAGACUUGGAGAGUGUCUGACCCGCAGAGAAAUCUCAUGGAGGAUCCAAAGCAGUGACUGGCAAUCGUGAGAGCUGCAUAGAGAAGGGAGUCUGAGACUGCUCUAUGAUACUGAGUUUCCGUAUACAGAUGAUAGGAGAGCGUGCCAGGCUUCAUCCGGACGUGACACGUGCCCUCAAACCUCAGACUAGAAAGGAUGGGACGCAUCGUGUGCGGUGAGGUACAGAUGCGAGCAGGUGGCUAUUGCCGAAGGGCAGACACAGCCAGUUGAUGCAGGUGCGCCUGGUAGGCUGUUGGCUGCAGUAAGCAAUAGCUUGGGUGUGAAGGUGACACAAGGCUUUUUCCAGAAUGUGGUUUGUUUUUACCAGGCCCUCUGCAAAGAGUGGUUAGCUUGUCCUUUUCCCAUCACCUCGCUUUAUGCUGUGUGCUAACGUGAAAUGACGAGCUUGUCUCCCUCCCUUCUCCCCAUCAGGGCCACGAGCGCUGAGAUCCGCGUUGACACAUGCACACUCACCCGCAGUAAGGGAGCUCCUGCUGCUGCAGAGUGAGGCUCUUCCUGUGGCAGCAAGAAGAUGGCUGUAAGCAUCGGGAGGAUUUUUUUUAUUACAGUAAGCAGAGAGUUUACAACUGGUUUCCUGUCUGAAUGGGUUUCCCUUGAGCAAUCCCCAUACCCGUACAAUCCUCAACCAGAAAAACAACUCACAGCAAGUCUGUCAAGAGCACUGGCACAGAUGCCUGAAACAUCUCUCUUCCAGACAGGAGAGGACAGACUCUGCAGAGCUACAGGAGUCGCUGCAUGUUUCAGCACAGAAGGUUGGUGCCAAGAGUUGCUGCUGCUGUUGUACAUUAUUCAGGACCUAGUUGUGUCGGCGGGAGAGGAGAUCCCAUCCCCCUGCCCCUCUGCACUGCUUUGGCACCGCAAACCGCCGCCUGAGGCAAACCCAGAACGUCCUUGUUAACCAGCUCCUUCGGCUCUAGCGCACAGCAUCCACCGCAGCUGCUCGCGUAAGUGCCUGGGGUGGCCACGGUGGCAAGAUCGCGGUUGGCUGCCGGUGCCCUACGUCCGUCGGCGGCCAACCGCGCACGCUGGCGAAGAGCGCGAGAACAGGGCAAGCGUGCGAUGCUGCUCCGUCCGAAAAGCCUGAGCUUGCCGCGGGGCUGCGCGUCCCCUCGCCCCCCCAACACCAGGAUGACGUGGCGACGGACUGGGGGGCAUCAGGCUCCGGGCAUGCCUUGGCAUCGGUGUCUCACUUUGGUUAAAACCCGCUGCCUGAGCCUGUAUGGAGGAAGAGGUGCGACCCAUGGGACGUGUGCGGGCCCCAGGCACCCUGCUCCUGAGGUUUGUCCCUCUUGCACACGUUCUCCUGUUUUCAGCAGCUCUCCCAAACGCUGAGAGCAGCAGUGAUGUGUUUUACAGACCCACUGAGUGUGAGGAGAAGUGACAAGAAUUUCCUAUAAAUAUGACUCUAAUCACACAAACGUGUAAACCCCUUAGGAGCCAUCCAGGUGACUUUCACACUUUCUGAUAGUUUUUGUUGGUAGUGGCGCUUUUUUUUUUUUUGGCUAAUUUUUACAUCUCUGCAACUUCUGGGCUGCGCCUUACCUUUUUUUUUCGUGUACACAGCUUAGGCUAUGUCCUCAGAAACACAAAAUGGAUCCAAAUGAAACCCUUCACAGCAAUGCAGCCCUUCAGAGCCUUGAAUUAGCUGGUAAUCCUCACGCUCUCGCUCAUGGCCAGCGAUGUAAAACGAUGCUGUCUCUGCUAAAAUAAGCGGAAAACAAGCAAAAGAGUCAAGCUACCUUGUGUUGCCCAGUAACACCAUCAACUUCAGCGGGCUUACAUCGGGGGUUAAUUUGGUUUAGAGAGAUUAUAUUUUUGAAAAAGAAGCCUCCAUUUGGGUACAAAUCUGAUAACAGCACCCAUACCUCUGAUUGAACUGCAAAGUCUUUUGCUGUUGC